GACGAACGCUGGCGGCGUGCUUAGCACAUGCAAGUCGAACGGUGAAGCGCCUUCCUUUUUGGUGGGUGUGGAUGAGUGGCGAACGGGUGAGUAACACGUGAGUAACCUGCCCCCUUCUUCUGGAUAACCGCAUGAAAGUGUGGCUAAUACGGGAUAUUCUGGGUCUGUCGCAUGAUGGGUCUGGGAAAGAUAUUGUUUCGGUGGGGGAUGGGCUCGCGGCCUAUCAGCUUGUUGGUGGGGUGAUGGCCUACCAAGGCGGUGACGGGUAGCCGGCCUGAGAGGGUGGACGGUCACACUGGGACUGAGACACGGCCCAGACUCCUACGGGAGGCAGCAGUGGGGAAUAUUGCACAAUGGGCGCAAGCCUGAUGCAGCGACGCCGCGUGAGGGAUGGAGGCCUUCGGGUUGUGAACCUCUUUCGCCAGUGAAGCAGGCCUGCCUCGUUUGUGGGUGGGUUGACGGUAGCUGGAUAAGAAGCGCCGGCUAACUACGUG
Molecule: ribosomal RNA, 494 nt
Filed under: uncultured bacterium
Lineage: Bacteria
Description: partial 16S ribosomal RNA
Rfam family: Bacterial small subunit ribosomal RNA
Source: RNAcentral